GUUCGGAGUUACUGGGCGUAAAGGGUGUGUAGGCGGUUGUUUAAGUUUGGUGUGAAAUCUCCCGGCUCAACUGGGAGGGUGCGCCGAAUACUGAAUGACUUCGAGUGCGGGAGAGGAGAGUGGAAUUCCUGGUGUAGCGGUGAAAUGCGUAGAUAUCAGGAGGAACACCGGUGGUGUAGGCGGCUCUCUGGACCGUAACUGACGCUGAGACACGAAAGCGUGGGUAGCAAACAGGAUUAGAUACCCUGGUAGUCCACGCCCUAAACGAUGCACACUUGGUGUGGGCAGUUCAUUCUGUCCGUGCCGGAGCUAACGCGUUAAAUGUGCCGCCUGGGGAGUACAGUCGCAAGGCUGAAACUCAAAGGAAUUGACGGGGGCCCGCACAAGCGGUGGAGCAUGUGGUUCAAUUCGACGCAACGCGAAGAACCUUACCUGGGCUCGAACGGCUGGUCAACGGCGGUGGAAACAUCGCUACCCCGCAAGGGGGUCCAGUCGAGGUGCUGCAUGGCUGUCGUCAGCUCGUGUCGUGAGAUGUUGGGUUAAGUCCCGCAACGAGCGCAACCCUUGUCCUGUGUUGCCAUCAUUCAGUUGGGAACUCGCAGGAGACCGCCAGCGAUAAGUUGGAGGAAGGUGGGGAUGACGUCAAGUCCUCAUGGCCUUUAUGUCCAGGGCUACACACGUGCUACAAUGGCCGGUACAAUGCGUCCCGAACCCGCGAGGGGAAGGCAAUCGCAAAAAACCGGUCUCAGUUCGGAUUGCAGGCUGCAACUCGCCUGCAUGAAGCUGGAAUCGCUAGUAAUGGCAGAUCAGCACGCUGCCGUGAAUACGUUCCCGG
RNAcentral lists this ribosomal RNA (835 nucleotides) under uncultured Acidobacteriota bacterium. RNAcentral's name for it is "bacterial SSU rRNA". It matches the Rfam family "Bacterial small subunit ribosomal RNA", at positions 543 to 1377 of the family's 1533-position model. The record is from RNAcentral. Lineage: Bacteria; Pseudomonadati; Acidobacteriota.